GGGAAGAUGGCUCAGCACUUAAGAGCACUGGAUGUCCUUCCAGAGGAUCUGGGUUCAAUUCCCAGCGCCCA
This is a non-coding RNA of Mesocricetus auratus (golden hamster), 71 nucleotides long. The record is from Rfam. Lineage: Eukaryota; Metazoa; Chordata; Mammalia; Rodentia; Cricetidae.